RNAcentral lists this ribosomal RNA (393 nucleotides) under uncultured bacterium. RNAcentral describes it as "partial 16S ribosomal RNA". It matches the Rfam family "Bacterial small subunit ribosomal RNA", at positions 523 to 918 of the family's 1533-position model. The record is from RNAcentral.
AUACGGAGGAUGCAAGCGUUAUCCGGAUUUAUUGGGUUUAAAGGGUGCGUAGGCGGAUGAUUAAGCGUGAGGUGAAAUGCCACUGCUCAACAGUGGAACUGCCUCGCGAACUGGUUGUCUUGAAUGCUCCUGCCGUGGGAGGAAUGUGUGGUGUAGCGGUGAAAUGCUUAGAGAUUACACAGAACACCGAUUGCGAAGGCAUCUCACGAAGGGUUGAUUGACGCUGAGGCACGAAAGCGUGGGGAUCAAACAGGAUUAGAUACCCUGGUAGUCCACGCAGUAAACGAUGAUGGCUAACCGCUGGUUUAUUCGGAUCAGUGGCCAAGCGAAAGCGAUAAGCCAUCCACCUGGGGAGUACGACCGCAAGGUUGAAACUCAAAUGAAUUGGCGGGG